GCAACCUCUGCCUCCCGGGUUCAAGCAAUUCUCCUUGAUCCGCCCGCCUCGGCCUCCCAAAGUGCUGGGAUUACAGGCGUGAGCCACUGCGCCCGGCCUGUUAAAGGUUUUUUGUCGGGGGAGGGGGUCUGCUUUUUUGUGUUACUAACAUCUGCUCUGUUGCAUUACACAUAAAGAUUCCAGAAAUAUUCUUAAAUGACUUCUAUAAUUUAGUUCACAAGCUUUAGCAAACAACAGAAUCACCUGGAGGGCUUGUUAAAACACAGGUUGGCCGGGCGUGGUGGCUCCUGCCUGUAAUUUCAGUACUUUGGGAGGCCAAGGCUGGCAGAUCUUUUGAGCCCAGGAGUUCAAGACCAGCCUGGCCAACAUGGCGCAACCCUGUCUCUAAGAAAAAUAAAAAAAAUUAGCUGAGCAUGGCGGCACUUGCCUGUAGUCCUAGCUACUCUGGUGGCUGGCUGAAGUGGGAGAAUCACCUGAGCCCAGGAAGUCAAGGCUGCUGCAGUGAGCCAUGAAUGUGCCACUGCACUCCAGCCUCGGUGAAGUGAGUGAGGCCCUGUCUAAAAAUAUAUAUAUUUAAAAGAACAAACAAAGAAAAGCACAGGUUGCUGGGAGUCCCACCCUCAGUUUCUUUCUCUGUGGUCUGAGAUGGGGGUGAGAAUUUGCAUUUCUAACAGGCACCCAGCUGGUGCUGCUGCUGCUGGUUUGGGGUCCACACUUAAGAGAUCUGCUGCUGUAGUCCACGUGCAGAUCCACAACUGGCUUCUGAAGUAAUGGGGCUUCAAAGUGAGAUUGCCCAAGUUCAAAUCUCUGCUUCACCAUUUUAUUAGCUCUGUGACCUUGGAAGAGUUCCUCAACCUCCAGAUCUGUUUCUUCAGUAAAGUGGGGUUAGCAAUGGUUCAGACCUCACGGGACUGUUGAAAAGAGUAAAUGAUUUAUUUUGGAUAAAGUACCAAGAACAGUGCCUGGUAUUUGCAGUGAUGAUUUGUUCUUUGUUCUCUGAUGUUUUUUUCUUUUAAACCUUUUUCAGUAACGCAUCCCCAAUUAAUAGAAUUGUACAAAUCAGUGGCAAUUCCAUGCCAAGAGGAAGUGGCUCCGGAUUUAAGCCAUUUAAGGGUGGACCUCCGCGACGAUUCUGAAAAUGAGCUCUCUGCCAAGGUUUUAAGAUAAUUUAUUGAAAUCUCCUGUAAACUUUACUUGACUACUUAUGAAGAGGACCUCUGACUUGCUUGAGAGUUCUGUCAGACUUUUCUUUUUAAAAAUUUAACAUGAUUGCUUUUCUCAAUUUUGGAGAAGAUGUUUAAAUAGUUCUGUUGUAACUUUUAAUAGUUUUGUGUAUCAUUCAACUUUUUUUCUUGCAGCACCGAGGCACAUUUGAAAAGAUGGAAUUGAAGUCGUUUUGUUUAACGCUGUGUGAAUAUAAAGAGUAGUUUGCAGCUGUGUGGUAGUGGUUUAAUUUGCAGCCUUAGCUCUGUGGUGUCUGGCUCUAGAGUUACUUCUUUUUACCAAGCAUUUUCAGCCUCCAUUUUGAAGGCUGUCUACACUUAAGAAGUCUUAGCUGUCUAAUUUUUAGAGAAU
Molecule: long non-coding RNA, 1575 nt
Filed under: Homo sapiens (human)
Lineage: Eukaryota; Metazoa; Chordata; Mammalia; Primates; Hominidae
Description: HSALNT0220860
Source: RNAcentral